AUUGCAGGGCACUCUAUCGUCUCAAUUGUUAUUGAGGAGGAAAGUCCGGACACCGAAGUGCAGUAUAGCGGGUAACACCCGUCCAUCGAAAGAUGAGGACAAGUGCAGCAGAAAGCAAGUACAGUUCGGCUGUAGUGAAAUCAGGUAAACUCUAUGCGGUGAAACGCCAUGUAAACCAAUGUUUGAGGGUUGCACGCCCAAAUUGGAGGGUAGGCGGUUAGAGGUUUUGGGUAACCAAGACCCUAGAUAAAUGGUAGGGCUCGACAGAAUCCGGCUUAUGACCUGCAGUCACA
Molecule: RNase P RNA, 293 nt
Filed under: Croceivirga thetidis
Lineage: Bacteria; Pseudomonadati; Bacteroidota; Flavobacteriia; Flavobacteriales; Flavobacteriaceae
Description: RNase P RNA component class A
Rfam family: Bacterial RNase P class A
About the family: Ribonuclease P (RNase P) is a ubiquitous endoribonuclease, found in archaea, bacteria and eukarya as well as chloroplasts and mitochondria.
Source: RNAcentral